GACGAACGCUGGCGGCGUGCUUAACACAUGCAAGUCGAACGCUGAAGACCUGGCUUUUGUUGGGUUGGAUGAGUGGCGAACGGGUGAGUAACACGUGAGUAACCUGCCCUCUUCUUUGGGAUAACGCCCGGAAACGGGUGCUAAUACUGGAUAUUCACUGAUCUUCGCAUGGGGGUUGGUGGAAAGGUUUGUUCUGGUGGGGGAUGGGCUCGCGGCCUAUCAGCUUGUUGGUGGGGUGAUGGCCUACCAAGGCUUUGACGGGUAGCCGGCCUGAGAGGGUGACCGGUCACAUUGGGACUGAGAUACGGCCCAGACUGCUACGGGAGGCAGCAGUGGGGAAUAUUGCACAAUGGGCGAAAGCCUGAUGCAGCGACGCCGCGUGAGGGAUGGAGGCCUUCGGGUUGUAAACCUCUUUCGCUCAUGGUCAAGCCGCAACUGUGGGUUGUGGUGAGGGUAGUGGGUAAAGAAGCGCCGGCUAACUACGUG
Molecule: ribosomal RNA, 486 nt
Filed under: uncultured bacterium
Lineage: Bacteria
Description: partial 16S ribosomal RNA
Rfam family: Bacterial small subunit ribosomal RNA
Source: RNAcentral